RNAcentral lists this ribosomal RNA (1460 nucleotides) under uncultured Pseudomonas sp. Its description in RNAcentral is "bacterial SSU rRNA". It matches the Rfam family "Bacterial small subunit ribosomal RNA". Lineage: Bacteria; Pseudomonadati; Pseudomonadota; Gammaproteobacteria; Pseudomonadales; Pseudomonadaceae. The record is from RNAcentral.
AUUGAACGCUGGCGGCAGGCCUAACACAUGCAAGUCGAGCGGUAGAGAGAAGCUUGCUUCUCUUGAGAGCGGCGGACGGGUGAGUAAUGCCUAGGAAUCUGCCUGGUAGUGGGGGAUAACGUUCGGAAACGGACGCUAAUACCGCAUACGUCCUACGGGAGAAAGCAGGGGACCUUCGGGCCUUGCGCUAUCAGAUGAGCCUAGGUCGGAUUAGCUAGUUGGUGGGGUAAUGGCUCACCAAGGCGACGAUCCGUAACUGGUCUGAGAGGAUGAUCAGUCACACUGGAACUGAGACACGGUCCAGACUCCUACGGGAGGCAGCAGUGGGGAAUAUUGGACAAUGGGCGAAAGCCUGAUCCAGCCAUGCCGCGUGUGUGAAGAAGGUCUUCGGAUUGUAAAGCACUUUAAGUUGGGAGGAAGGGUUGUAGAUUAAUACUCUGCAAUUUUGACGUUACCGACAGAAUAAGCACCGGCUAACUCUGUGCCAGCAGCCGCGGUAAUACAGAGGGUGCAAGCGUUAAUCGGAAUUACUGGGCGUAAAGCGCGCGUAGGUGGUUUGUUAAGUUGGAUGUGAAAUCCCCGGGCUCAACCUGGGAACUGCAUUCAAAACUGACUGACUAGAGUAUGGUAGAGGGUGGUGGAAUUUCCUGUGUAGCGGUGAAAUGCGUAGAUAUAGGAAGGAACACCAGUGGCGAAGGCGACCACCUGGACUAAUACUGACACUGAGGUGCGAAAGCGUGGGGAGCAAACAGGAUUAGAUACCCUGGUAGUCCACGCCGUAAACGAUGUCAACUAGCCGUUGGAAGCCUUGAGCUUUUAGUGGCGCAGCUAACGCAUUAAGUUGACCGCCUGGGGAGUACGGCCGCAAGGUUAAAACUCAAAUGAAUUGACGGGGGCCCGCACAAGCGGUGGAGCAUGUGGUUUAAUUCGAAGCAACGCGAAGAACCUUACCAGGCCUUGACAUCCAAUGAACUUUCCAGAGAUGGAUUGGUGCCUUCGGGAACAUUGAGACAGGUGCUGCAUGGCUGUCGUCAGCCCGUGUCGUGAGAUGUUGGGUUAAGUCCCGUAACGAGCGCAACCCUUGUCCUUAGUUACCAGCACGUAAUGGUGGGCACUCUAAGGAGACUGCCGGUGACAAACCGGAGGAAGGUGGGGAUGACGUCAAGUCAUCAUGGCCCUUACGGCCUGGGCUACACACGUGCUACAAUGGUCGGUACAGAGGGUUGCCAAGCCGCGAGGUGGAGCUAAUCCCAUAAAACCGAUCGUAGUCCGGAUCGCAGUCUGCAACUCGACUGCGUGAAGUCGGAAUCGCUAGUAAUCGCGAAUCAGAAUGUCGCGGUGAAUACGUUCCCGGGCCUUGUACACACCGCCCGUCACACCAUGGGAGUGGGUUGCACCAGAAGUAGCUAGUCUAACCUUCGGGAGGACGGUUACCACGGUGUGAUUCAUGACUGGGGUGA